AACUUUCAGCAAUGGAUCACUUGGUUCUGGCAUCGAUGAAGAACGCAGCGAAAUGCGAAAAGUAAUGCGAAUUGCAGAAUUCCGUGAGUCAUCGAAUCUUUGAACGCACAUUGCGCCCCCUGGUAUUCCAGAGGGCAUGCCUGUCCGAGCGUCAUUAUCCAUCUCAAGCCUGGCUUGUCGUUGGGCGGACCGGUUUGGUCCCCCUGAAAAAUAGCGGCGGCACCGUUUCGGUCGCAUCGCAACGAGCUUCGGCACGCGGUGCGGCCCUUGUGGCCCGCCUCCAACCUCUAGGUUGACCUCGGAUCAGACAGGAUUACCCGCUGAACUUAAGCAUAUCAAUAAGCGGAGGCU
This 351-nucleotide unclassified non-coding RNA is filed under the name uncultured Verrucariaceae. Its description in RNAcentral is "sequence contains ITS2". The stretch from base 1 to 154 matches the Rfam family "5.8S ribosomal RNA". Lineage: Eukaryota; Fungi; Ascomycota; Eurotiomycetes; Verrucariales. The record is from RNAcentral.